UAACGCGUGAGGAACCUGCCUCAAAGAGGGGGACAACAGUUGGAAACGACUGCUAAUACCGCAUAAGCCCACGGCUCGGCAUCGAGCAGAGGGAAAAGGAGCAAUCCGCUUUGAGAUGGCCUCGCGUCCGAUUAGCUAGUUGGUGAGGUAACGGCCCACCAAGGCGACGAUCGGUAGCCGGACUGAGAGGUUGAACGGCCACAUUGGGACUGAGACACGGCCCAGACUCCUACGGGAGGCAGCAGUGGGGAAUAUUGCACAAUGGGGGAAACCCUGAUGCAGCGACGCCGCGUGGAGGAAGAAGGUCUUCGGAUUGUAAACUCCUGUUGUUGAGGAAGAUAAUGACGGUACUCAACAAGGAAGUGACGGCUAACUACGUGCCAGCAGCCGCGGUAAAACGUAGGUCACAAGCGUUGUCCGGAAUUACUGGGUGUAAAGGGAGCGCAGGCGGGAGAGCAAGUUGGAAGUGAAAUCCAUGGGCUCAACCCAUGAACUGCUUUCAAAACUGUUUUUCUUGAGUAGUGCAGAGGUAGGCGGAAUUCCCGGUGUAGCGGUGGAAUGCGUAGAUAUCGGGGGGAACACCAGUGGCGAAGGCGGCCUACUGGGCACCAACUGACGCUGAGGCUCGAAAGUGUGGGUAGCAAACAGGAUUAGAUACCCUGGUAGUCCACACCGUAAACGAUGAUUACUAGGUGU
This 696-nucleotide ribosomal RNA is filed under the name uncultured bacterium. RNAcentral's name for it is "bacterial SSU rRNA". It matches the Rfam family "Bacterial small subunit ribosomal RNA", at positions 111 to 823 of the family's 1533-position model. The record is from RNAcentral.